RNAcentral lists this long non-coding RNA (491 nucleotides) under Nicotiana benthamiana. Its description in RNAcentral is "long non-coding RNA (NBEN_LNC016512)". The record is from RNAcentral. Lineage: Eukaryota; Viridiplantae; Streptophyta; Magnoliopsida; Solanales; Solanaceae.
AGAUGGUUCAAUUAUCCAAUUUUAUUAUGGAGAAGACGGUGUUGAUGUACAUCGAACAAGUUUUCUCAAAAACUUGAAAGCACUGAAAGAUGUAAGAACUGGAUUUCGGAUUCUUUUAUUGACUAAUAGAAUCUGUGCUGAUUGUGUAAGAGAAAGCACUGAAAGAUGUAUGAACUGGAUUUCGGAUUCUUUUAUUGACUAGUAGAAUCUGUGCUGAUUGUGUAAGAUUUGCCAUACAGAUAAUCCAUUUUUUUUUCCAUUAUACUAAUAGCUUAUUAAUUUUAACGAUGGAUCACACUUUUGAUUAUUUGUAUUUAGUUGGAAAAAUUCAUGUCAUAUGCUGUGUAUUAUACAUCAUUUAGUCAUUUUUGUUUUAGUAUCUUGAUAUUAUUAAUUCUUUAACAGUUCUGGAAGUUAGAAUUUUUGGAAUUUUACUUUAUGCAACAGUGGAGUACCUACGAAACUGGAUGAAGAUGUAAACAGUUCUUAAG